ACAGAGGCCUCGAGCGUUGUUCGGAUUCAUUGGGCGUAAAGGGUGCGUAGGUGGCGAGGCAAGUCUGGUGUGAAAUCCUAGGGCUCAACCCUGGAACUGCACUGGAUACUACUUUGCUUGAGUACUGGAGAGGAGAUUGGAAUUUACGGUGUAGCAGUGAAAUGCGUAGAUAUCGUAAGGAAGACCAGUGGCGAAGGCGAAUCUCUGGACAGUUACUGACACUGAGGCACGAAGGCCAGGGGAGCAAACGGGA
This 253-nucleotide ribosomal RNA is filed under the name uncultured prokaryote. RNAcentral's name for it is "partial 16S ribosomal RNA". It matches the Rfam family "Bacterial small subunit ribosomal RNA", at positions 525 to 777 of the family's 1533-position model. The record is from RNAcentral.